This 301-nucleotide ribosomal RNA is filed under the name uncultured bacterium. RNAcentral describes it as "partial 16S ribosomal RNA". It matches the Rfam family "Bacterial small subunit ribosomal RNA", at positions 509 to 807 of the family's 1533-position model. The record is from RNAcentral.
CAGCAGCCGCGGGAAUACGAAGGGGGCUAGCGUUGCUCGGAAUCACUGGGCGUAAAGGGUGCGUAGGCGGCUUUGUAAGUAAGAGGUGAAAGCCCGGAGCUCAACUCCGGAACUGCCUUUUAGACUGCAUCGCUUGAAUCCAGGAGAGGUGAGUGGAAUUCCGAGUGUAGAGGUGAAAUUCGUAGAUAUUCGGAAGAACACCAGUGGCGAAGGCGGCUCACUGGACUGGUAUUGACGCUGAGGUGCGAAAGCGUGGGGAGCAAACAGGAUUAGAUACCCGGGUAGUCCCUGUCUCUUAUAC